Molecule: ribosomal RNA, 521 nt
Filed under: uncultured bacterium
Lineage: Bacteria
Description: bacterial SSU rRNA
Rfam family: Bacterial small subunit ribosomal RNA
Source: RNAcentral
CCUGGCUUAGAACGAACGCUGGCGGCGUGCUUAACACAUGCAAGUCGAACGCGAAAGGGACUUCGGUCCUGAGUAAAGUGGCGCACGGGUGAGUAACGCGUAGAUAACCUGUCUUCAUGUCUGGAAUAAUACGCCGAAAGGGGUACUAAUACCGGAUAUUCUUGCUUUUCAUAAGUUAUGCAAGCAAAGGUGGCCUCUGCAUAUGCUACUGCAUGAAGAGGGGUCUGCGUACCAUUAGCUAGUAGGUGGGGUAAUGGCCUACCUAGGCGGACGAUGGUUAGCGGGUCUGAGAGGAUGAUCCGCCACACUGGCACUGGAACACGGGCCAGACUCCUACGGGAGGCAGCAGUGAGGAAUAUUGCGCAAUGGGGGAAACCCUGACGCAGCGACGCCGCGUGAGUGGGGAAGGCCUUCGGGUCGUAAAGCUCUGUCAAGAGGAAAGAAGUGUACAAUGGCUAAUACCUGUUGUAUUUGACGGUACCUCUAAAGGAAGCACCGGCUAACUCCGUGCCAGCCGCAGC